ACGAACGCUGGCGGCGUGCUUAACCCAUGCAAGUCGAACGGAAAGGCCCUGCUUUUGUGGGGUGCUCGAGUGGCGAACGGGUGAGUAACACGUGAGUAACCUGCCCUUGACUUUGGGAUAACUUCAGGAAACUGGGGCUAAUACCGGAUAGGAGCUCCUGCUGCAUGGUGGGGGUUGGAAAGUUUCGGCGGUUGGGGAUGGACUCGCGGCUUAUCAGCUUAUUGGUGGGGUAAUGGCUUACCAAGGCUUUGACGGGUAGCCGGCCUGAGAGGGUGACCGGCCACAUUGGGACUGAGAUACGGCCCAGACUCCUACGGGAGGCAGCAGUGGGGAAUAUUGCACAAUGGGCGGAAGCCUGAUGCAGCAACGCCGCGUGCGGGAUGACGGCCUUCGGGUUGUAAACCGCUUUCGCCUGUGACGAAGCGUGAGUGACGGUAAUAGGUAAAGAAGCACCGGCUAACUACGUG
RNAcentral lists this ribosomal RNA (467 nucleotides) under uncultured bacterium. RNAcentral's name for it is "partial 16S ribosomal RNA". It matches the Rfam family "Bacterial small subunit ribosomal RNA", at positions 29 to 507 of the family's 1533-position model. The record is from RNAcentral.